GUGCCAGCCGCCGCGGUAAUACGUAGGGGGCUAGCGUUGUCCGGAUUUAUUGGGCGUAAAGAGCGUGUAGGCGGCCAGAUAGGUCUGCUGUGAAAACUCGAGGCUCAACCUCGAGCUGUCGGCGGAAACCAUCCGGCUAGAGUCCGGAAGAGGAGAGUGGAAUUCCCGGUGUAGCGGUGAAAUGCGCAGAUAUCGGGAAGAACACCUGUGGCGAAGGCGGCUCUCUGGGACGGUACUGACGCUGAGACGCGAAAGCGUGGGGAGCAAACAGGAUUAGAAACCCUGGUAGUCC
RNAcentral lists this ribosomal RNA (292 nucleotides) under uncultured bacterium. Its description in RNAcentral is "partial 16S ribosomal RNA". It matches the Rfam family "Bacterial small subunit ribosomal RNA", at positions 505 to 796 of the family's 1533-position model. The record is from RNAcentral.